Molecule: ribosomal RNA, 241 nt
Filed under: uncultured bacterium
Lineage: Bacteria
Description: partial 16S ribosomal RNA
Rfam family: Bacterial small subunit ribosomal RNA
Source: RNAcentral
CAGAGUUUGAUAUGGCUCAGGAUGAACGCUAGCGGCAGGCUUAACACAUGCAAGUCGAGGGGCAGCGGGGGUGUAGCAAUACACUGCCGGCGACCGGCGUCACGGGUGCGUAACGCGUAUGCAACCUACCAUAACAGGGGCAUAACACUGAGAAAUUGGUACUAAUUCCCCAUAACAUUCGAAGAGCAUCUCUUUGGGUUGAAAACUCCGGUGUUAUGGAUGGGCAUGCUUGUAUUAGCUA